RNAcentral lists this ribosomal RNA (497 nucleotides) under uncultured bacterium. RNAcentral describes it as "partial 16S ribosomal RNA". It matches the Rfam family "Bacterial small subunit ribosomal RNA", at positions 28 to 507 of the family's 1533-position model. The record is from RNAcentral.
GAUGAACGCUGGCGGCGUGCCUAAUACAUGCAAGUCGAGCGAACGGACGAGAAGCUUGCUUCUCUGAUGUUAGCGGCGGACGGGUGAGUAACACGUGUAUAACCUACCUAUAAGACUGGGAUAACUUCGGGAAACCGGAGCUAAUACCGGAUGAUAUUUUGAACCGCAUGGUUCAAAAGUGAAAGACGGUCUUGCUGUCACUUAUAGAUGGAUCCGCGCUGCAUUAGCUAGUUGGUAAGGUAACGGCUUACCAAGGCAACGAUGCAUAGCCGACCUGAGAGGGUGAUCGGCCACACUGGAAGUGAGACACGGUCCAGAGUCCUACGGGAGGCAGCAGUAGGGAAUCUUCCGCAAUGGGGGAAAGCCUGACGGAGCAACGCCGCGUGAGUGAUGAAGGUCUUCGGAUCGUAAAACUCUGUUAUUAGGGAAGAACAUAUGUGUACGUAACUGUGCACAUCUUGACGGUAACUAAUCAGAAAGCCACGGCUAACUACGUG